ACUCUGGUUUCUCUUCAGAUCAUAUAAAUC
RNAcentral lists this small nuclear RNA (30 nucleotides) under Cervus elaphus hippelaphus. Lineage: Eukaryota; Metazoa; Chordata; Mammalia; Artiodactyla; Cervidae. The record is from RNAcentral.